Molecule: ribosomal RNA, 421 nt
Filed under: uncultured bacterium
Lineage: Bacteria
Description: bacterial SSU rRNA
Rfam family: Bacterial small subunit ribosomal RNA
Source: RNAcentral
UGGGGAAUCUUGCGCAAUGGGCGAAAGCCUGACGCAGCGACGCCGCGUGGGGGAGGAAGGUCUUCGGAUUGUAAACCCCUGUUGCCCGGGACGAACCUCUCGUUUCGACGAGACUGACGGUACCGGGUGAGGAAGCACCGGCUAACUCCGUGCCAGCAGCCGCGGUAAUACGGAGGGUGCGAGCGUUGUCCGGAAUCACUGGGCGUAAAGGGCGCGUAGGUGGCACGGUAAGCGUGUGGUGAAAGCUCGGGGCUCAACCCCGAGUCGGCCAUGCGAACUGCUGCGCUUGAGCACUGUAGAGGCAGACGGAAUUCCGGGUGUAGCGGUGGAAUGCGUAGAGAUCCGGAAGAACACCGGUGGCGAAGGCGGUCUGCUGGGCAGUAGCUGACACUGAGGCGCGACAGCGUGGGGAGCAAACAGG